CGGGUGAGUAAUGCUUGGGAAUCUAGCUUAUGGAGGGGGAUAACUACGGGAAACUGUAGCUAAUACCGCGUAGAAUCGGGAGAUGAAAGUGUGGGACCUUCGGACCACAUGCCAUAGGAUGAGCCCAAGUGGGAUUAGGUAGUUGGUGAGGUAAAGGCUCACCAAGCCGACGAUCUCUAGCUGGUCUGAGAGGAUGACCAGCCACACUGGGACUGAGACACGGCCCAG
RNAcentral lists this ribosomal RNA (228 nucleotides) under uncultured bacterium. RNAcentral describes it as "partial 16S ribosomal RNA". It matches the Rfam family "Bacterial small subunit ribosomal RNA", at positions 103 to 334 of the family's 1533-position model. The record is from RNAcentral.